Molecule: long non-coding RNA, 2877 nt
Organism: Cygnus olor (mute swan)
Lineage: Eukaryota; Metazoa; Chordata; Aves; Anseriformes; Anatidae
Exons: 3
Source: RefSeq, a predicted model, not a curated record
GGCUGGCCUUUGGCCUCUCUCUGAGGGAAGGGGAGGAGAGGGGUACCCCUUCUUGUCUCUUGGUUCUGUUGCUUUUAUUUACUGCAGAUUUACUGCCACUGGCUGCCUCAUUUCAGUUGUGCAUUCGUGGCUGUGCACACUAAUCACUCUUGACUUUGCCUUUCACUUCACAGUACUCAGACAAGAUGCCAUAGAUUACACUGACUGUUUUGGACCCUAGCAGCAGCAAAUCCUUCAUUCGGGGGCCACCAAGCGCCGGAGUUACACCUCCAAAACUUCAGGACAACCACAUCUGAUUUUGCUUUCAUGUUGAUGCUGAUCUCAGAAGUAUGAUCAGUUCCUGUCCUGGCCUCUGUUUCACCCACAGUUAGAUCACCUUGUCUUGAGGGUAUCAUUUGCAAGGAAGUCACUCUGUAGUGCCUCUCAAAGUGAAUCCAGCCUUGGCUUUCUGCCAGGGUGCUGUGAGUUUUUUUAUCACCACUUUGCAAGCAGUAUCAGGAGAAAUGUAGACUGCAUUUCUGCAGCUGCUGGCUAGUGUGGGGAUGCCUUCAUCUCCUGUCAUGAACUGCUGGAGUGGGGCAGCAGCAAGCUUUGUCCUUCUGACUCAGUGAGAACUGUUUAGGAUGUUGUUGAACAUCGUCGCUUUUGCAGGAAUUUUAGAAGCACUCAGCAAAGCAUUUUUCUUUCCAUAAACUGCUUUAGCUCUAGCUAUGAGCUAUGAAAUCAACUCCAGGAAAGAUGUGCUUCAAGAGUUGUUAUCAAAAUAUCAGCUCAGCAGUGUCCAUGCCAGUAAAGUGAAAUGAGGCAAUGUUUGUAUAGAUAUAUAAUUCCAAUGGUACUACUCAAAGUGGGUGAGCAGACGUAAUAUAAAACUGCCUUACAUUUGGAAGAUGUAAAGAAGACAGAAGCAUACCCUGCCAAGCACCACUUCACAGGUGUGACUACAAGGACAGACUGAGUGGCAUCUUUAAGAAAAACAGAUUUAGCAGGGACGUGCAUGAAGUUCACACACUAAGCUGGAGGACACAGAUUCCCUUAUGUUGGCCCCAGCUUGUCCCACCCAAGUUAUGGUUUGUUCCUUGGAAGAAGUUUCUCUCUCCAUUGCCUGUGUUCCUAAUUGGGUACCUCAAGUUUGGAGACACAAAUCUGUGUCUUUCUGUGCCUAACAACUACCUCUCUUCUAAUCCUUGAUGUACCGUGAGCUUUCUGUAAUGUCCUGCUUCCAGCAAGAUGCUUUUGAUUCUUCUUAGGGAGCAGUAGCCACUUUUAGCUCUUCUGAAUAACUUUCUCCAGUAGUUUUUUUCUUCUUGGCUGGUUUGUGACAGUUUGUGACUCGUGAGCUAUUGCUAUCGAGUUUGUUAUCAAAAGCUCUGUUCUCAUGCUUCUAAUGGUAUUUGUGAUGGAAAAUAGAUGCUUAGCCUUCCUGUUUUGCUGGUAUCCCAAGGCUGAUGAAAUCUGACAGCAGGUGUCUAGAUAUCACCAGAGCAGAGGUCUCCAAUCUUUUCCGUUUUUUUCCCCAUGGCACAGACUACAUUUAUAAGCUCAAGCUUUUGGUGAACUGCUUUUAGGAGCUGAGAUCUCAUUUAUUAACUGGCUCAGAUCCAUUCAAUGAAAAUAAAGGACAUGCUAAGCUCUGCAGAGCAAUGAUAUUCACCUCCAUAACCAACAAAUGAUUAAUUGUGUUUGGAGUGAAAUCAAAGACAAUGUGUAUACAGCUUUUUCCUUACAUAAAAAAUAGUCUCCAGGUACUCCAAGAAAAAGAUGUCGACUUUUGUAAUUUUACCAUGAGUUUCAGAAUAUAAAUAAAAAUAUGUAUGCAUACAUUUUUUCUUAAAGUCCGUGGCACCUAAGAUUGACUGACUGUAUAAGAAAAUAACAUCUUCUAACUUAGCUUAAGGAAAGAAAACAAUCCAACUGUUCUUUAAAGAAACUAAGCUGAAGGGUGAAUAGUAGCUCAAUGUUUAAAAUUGAGGGGCAAAGACUUGUGAAGAUUUUUUCAUGGCAGAAUGAGAAUGGAGCAUCCCACCCAAACUUUAAUCCUGGGAAGAAAUAGUGGAAGUAGUUGCCACUCCUGUAAGGGAGCUGUUGCUUUAGCUCCCAUUUGCCCCACAUGUCCCUUAGGCUGGCAGGAACACCUUGCACUGUGCACCUUGCAGCGGUUCUUUCCUGCUUGCCAAACUGGAAACUACAUCUUCCUCAUGUGCAGGCAUGACAUAAUGAAAAGAAAAUGCUACAGAAGUAUAUUUUUCGUCCUCAAGGAGCUCUUGUGUACAUAGUAGGGGAUUUCCAGCUCUGCCUCUUGGGUCUUUGGGUAUCUUUAGCUUGUUGAGUAAAUUCAGCUCUGCCUGGAUUUGUGGAUAAGAUGGGAAAUGAGGGAGGGUAAUCAUGCAGGAGAAGAGUCGCAGGCUGCAGGAGAAGUAUGACAAGCUAGAUAGCGAGAAAUGUGGUUAAAGACAAGAGUGUGACAUUUUCAGAAACAUGUUCCAAAUCCCCCUGCCCCUCAUUAGCAACCUCUGCUUUCAUCCAGGGCUCUCAGCCGUCCUGCAAAUUUUUGUUUUCCAAAAGCCAGUAUAAGAGUUAAAAUUCCUCUGUAGGUUGUGGAAUAUGAAGAUGCCAAAUAUUUUUCCAGUGAAAUUUUAAGAUAAAAUACUUGCAUGUGUGUUGGUGCAGACACCAGACUCUUGCCUCCUUCCAUAUCCAGAUUGUGUUCAAGUAAGCAUUCAAGGAGACUGGUCUGUGUCCUUCUCUCCAUACUCUAUCCCUCUAAAAUUCCAGAGACACAGCAUGAUUUGAAUUUCUUUCAAACUCUCUGAACACAAACUUGUGCUUACUACUUUAAAAAUAUUGGUAAAUUUAUUGCUGGCAUUUGCAACAACC